Molecule: unclassified non-coding RNA, 306 nt
Filed under: uncultured Rhizophydium
Lineage: Eukaryota; Fungi; Chytridiomycota; Chytridiomycetes; Rhizophydiales; Rhizophydiaceae
Description: sequence contains ITS2
Source: RNAcentral
AACGCACAUUGCACUCUGUUUCGGCAGAGUAUGCCUGUUUGAGAAUCUAUAGUAUUCAUUUUCCAACUUUGGGUAUUUAUACCUAGGGAAGGAGAGAUUUGAGGCGUCGCACUUACCCUGCGUGCCUUUAAAACUAUUGCUGCUGGAUACUGUCAAGUAACGGAAAAGUAUGUGUAUGGAACUUCGGUUUCUCUAAUACUCAGUACGUGUGAUGGUGCUUGUCCGGCACUCAACUAUUAAAGUUAUCCUCUCGGGGGUAACUUGAACCAUGGUCUCAAAUCAGGCAGGAAGACCCGCUGAACUUAA